RNAcentral lists this ribosomal RNA (119 nucleotides) under Pteropus alecto (black flying fox). Lineage: Eukaryota; Metazoa; Chordata; Mammalia; Chiroptera; Pteropodidae. The record is from RNAcentral.
UGCUAUGGCCAUGCCACCCUGAAAAAGCCCGAUCUUGUCUGAUCGCAGAAGCUAAGCAGGGUCGGAUGUUCUUAGUACUUGGAUGGGAGACCACCUAGCAAGACCAGGUGCUGUAGGUG